RNAcentral lists this ribosomal RNA (441 nucleotides) under uncultured bacterium. Its description in RNAcentral is "partial 16S ribosomal RNA". It matches the Rfam family "Bacterial small subunit ribosomal RNA", at positions 338 to 795 of the family's 1533-position model. The record is from RNAcentral.
CCUACGGGUGGCAGCAGUGGGGAAUAUUGCACAAUGGUGGAAACCCUGAUGCAGCGACGCCGCGUGAGUGAAGAAGUAUUUCAGUAUGUAAAGCUCUUUCAGCAAGAGCGAGACAAGACGGUACCUUACUAAGAAGCCUCGGCUAACUACGUGCCAGCAGCCGCGGUACUACGGAGGGGGCAAGCGUUAUCCGGAAUCACUGGGUGUAAAGGGAGCGUAGACGGCUGUGCAAGCCUGAAGUGAAAGGCGGGGGCCCAACCCCUGGACUGCUUGGGGAACUGGACGGCUGGAGUGCAGGAGAGGUAAGUGGAAUGCCUAGUGUAGCGGUGAAAUGCGUAGAUAUUAGGAGGAACACCAGUGGCGAAGGCGGCUUACUGGACUGUAACUGACGUUGAGGCUCGAAAGCAUGGGGAGCAAACAGGAUUAGAUACCCCAGUAGUC